GGCCACUGUAUAAAGCAAUCAAUAAAAUAUUAUGUUUUACACAGGUUUACCUGAAACUCCUGAUUUAGUUUUUUCUCGAUCCAGUCUGUGACAUGAGCAAAUGUAACCUCUCUCUCUCCCAGUUUGGGCCGAGCUUUCAGCUCCAGGUUACAUAUACCAUAUCCUGUCAGUUGGAGGUGGUGGGAUGUUGACAGCGAGAGUUCCUCGACACUCCUGCACCUCCACCGUGAGGAGCAGAGGAGUAUUAGACACCUCCUCUAUCUUCUUCUUGAUGAACUCAGUCUCUGUGGCUUUCUGGAAAUACUUGGACUUUGUGAUUUUGUCCACAAAGCGCAUGAUUUUACUGGGUUCAAUUACAGAGGUCUGAGUGUUGGGAACUGACGCUCAUGUGUCUCUGGAGAUAUCUGCGUGGGAAUUAAUCCAUUUAAUAAAGAAAAUUUCCCAGUUAAACGACCAUGUGUAUUUAUUUAUUUAUUUAUUUAUUUUUGGGUUAAUAUAAUAAUAAAACAACUGUUGCCUUUUCUACAAAAGUUUUCUUGGUCACAAAUGUAACCAGUGGGAAAUUUUGCACAUAUGGUCAAGAUUAACAAAAAGGCAAACGUUAUUUAAUUUAAUUUUUAAUAAUUUUUUACUAAAAGGCAAUUGUGGGGGGAAAUAAAUAAAUCAAAUAGACCCUUUAAAUAUUAUAUGCACUAAAUAUGGUUUUUGUAUCUGUAUCAUUGUGUAAUUCUUACGAAACCCGUCAAGAAAAUAUCCUGAUCCUUUUCUACUCCAAAAUCAAAAGAAACCAAUGAUUAGAUUUUGCAUAUAAGAGAAUUAAGUCCAUUUUCAGGACCAUUAGCAUUGGCAAUGUGAAACAAGAUGGCCAUUAUGAUAUUCUCAUUACCACAAUGCAAAGGAAAAAAAAUUAUAUAAUAAUUAUAUAUAUAUAUAUAAUUUAAAUUGUAAAGUAUAUCUGCAACAGAGUUACUCCCUUGGUACUGCCUUUUAUUGAUUUUACUGAUUGCUGAUUUAAAAAAUAAAUCAAUGAACAAAAGCAUCUUUUAUGUGUUGCAAGUAAUGAGAAUCAUCACUGAAAACAAUGGGAAUAGUUCAAGUAAUGGGGGGUAAAAUGAGGCUCUGGUCAUGUGACUAUUUGCACCAUCAAUGUAAAAAUGUUCACAUGAAAUCAAGACUGACUGCACCUUUAUUUAUAGUUGACAACUCAAAAUACCUCAACAACUGUUUUUAGACCCUCGAAACUGAGAACCACAUUUAAUCACAAAUGUGACCGGUGGGAUGAAAAGGAAAUGGAAGGACGUACAGUUGAAAUCAGAAAUUUACAUACACUUAGGUUGAAGUAAUUAAAACUAAUUUUUUUAACCACUCCACAGAUUUAAUAUUAGCAAACUAUAGUUUUGGCAAGUCAUUUAGGACAUCUACUUUGUGUAUGACACAAGUCAUUUUUCAACAAUUGUUUACAGACAGAUUACUUCACUUUUAAUUGACUAUAUCACAAUUCCAGUGGGUCAGAAGUUUACAUACACUAAGUUAACUGUGCCUUUAAGCAGCUUGGAAAAUUCCAGAAAAUGAUGUCAAGCCUUUAGACAAUUAGACAAUUAGCUUCUGAUAGGAGGUGUACUGAAUUGGACAUGUACAUGUGGAUGUAUUUUAAGGCCUACCUUCAAACUCAGGGACCAUUUACACGACAACGUUUUCAACUAAAAACGGAAAACUUUUUAUGCGUUUCGGCUGUUCGUUUACACGACAACGGCGUUUUGGGGCCUGAAAUGCAAACUUUUGAAAACGUGUUUCAAAGUGCAAGUUUUUGAAAAUGAUGCUGUUAUCAUCUCCGUGUAAACAUACAAAAACGCAAAUUUGUGAAAACGAUGAUGUCAUGCGCAUGCGUAUUACGUGUUAUAUAAAGAAUGAUGGAUUGAUAGGCAUCAAUUUGAGAUGUAUAAUUAUCAAUAUGAAUACUGGUGUCUGUGCAAAUAACAAUAAUCAACAAUUAAUUAAUUUGGAGUGUUUUGUAUGGAGUGUGAACAUUGUACAGUAGGCGGAACCUGCAAUUUGAAAAUCUUGAAAUUAAUGUAUGGAUUCAGAUGGGAAAAAUGUAUUUGUAUUUUAAAUGUUAUUUAUUUAUUUAUUUACUUAAGUUUAUUUGAUGUACCUUUACCCUGCAAUUCAUUCACCCACCGCUUAUGUAUACAGCCUAUAGACAGAGAUGUGAUGCCAUGUAUUCAAUGAUAUGCUUAGAAUAUGAAAACGAGGCAGUGAAAAUGCAUGUUAGAUCCAGUGUACAGAAGACCUCUGUCUCCGUCAGAAGAUAUCCAUAUAUCAGAGUUCUGUCUGAUAUCCAAAACCAGUCAAUAUCAACAGCUUAUGUUAACUUACUCUCCUACCAGCCCAAGAGUCAGCAGGGGGAAUACAGAAGAAGGCAGGAGACGAAGUGAUGGUAAAAAUGAGCAGAGUUUAUUGAAUAAUCUUGAGAGUUCAGUCUACAGGCAUGCGCGCGAGUACUUCAAAACAGCGCGCGAGACAUUCAAAACUACAAUGGUGGACUACAAGACUGUGUUUGUGCUGCUCAAGAUUUUGAGUUUAUUAAUGCUUCUCCAGCAAAGUGAUUGUAGUAAUAAAGCAAACUCAUCGUCCGUCCAGACAAAAUUACUCGAUGCUUUCGCCAUCUUCAUUGUUUGUAUUCACCGCCCUGUGGAAAAAUGCUUAUGUGCGCAGGCGCGUAGUGUUUCUUUACAAAGUGACAUCACAACUACUGGCCUGGCAUGCAUAAUACAGCGUUUUUAGUCGUUUUCACGGAUCUGUGUGAACGGGGAUCGUUUUGACAACGUUGUUGUCUGUACGCAAAACUUUUCAAAAGCACAAAGGAAAAACGUUUCCGUUUUUAGUUCAUCGUUGUCGUGUAAACGUACCCUCAGUGCCUCUUUGCUUGACAUCAUGGGAAAAUCAAAAGAAAUCAGCCAAUGGGGCCAGGGUAGCUCAGCAAGUAAAGACGCUGACUUCCACACCUGGAGUCACAAGUUCGAAUCCAGGGUGUGCUGAGUGACUCCAGUCAGGCUUCCUAAGCAACCAACUGGCCCGGUUGCUAGGGUGGGUAGUGUCAUGUUGGGUUAACCUCCUUGUGGUCGCUAUAAUGUGGUUCUCUCUCUCGGUGGGGCACGUAGUGAGUUGAUGCUGCGUAGAAUAGCGUGAGCCUCCACAUGCGCUAGGUCUCCGCGGUAACGCGCUCAACAAGCCACAUGAUAAGAUGCGCGGAUUGACAGUCUCAGACGCGGAGGCAACUGAGAUUCGUCCUCCGCCACCCGGGUUGAUGCGAGUCACUACGCCACCACGAGGACUUAGAGCGAAUUGGGAAUUGGACAUGCCAAAUUGGGGAGAAAAUGGGAGAAAUUAAAAAAAACAAAGAAAUCAGUCAAGACCUCAGAAAAAAAUUGGGACCUCCACAAGUCUGGUUCAUCCUUGGGAGCAAUUUCCAAAUGCCUGAAGGUACCACGUUCAUCUGUACAAACAAUAGUACACAAGUAUAAACACCAUGGGACCACACAGCCAUCAUUUCACUCAGGAAGGAGACGCAUUCUGUCUCCUUGAGAUGAACAUAGUUUGGAAUGAAAAGUGCAAAUCAAUCCCAGAACAACAGCAAAAGACCUUGUGAAGAUGCUGGAUGAAACAGGCAGACAAGUAUCUAUAUCCACAGUAAAACGAGUCUUAUAUCGACAUAACCUGAAAGGCUGCUCAGCAAGGAAGAAGCCACUGCUCCAAAACCGCCAUAAAAAAGCCAGACUACAGUUUGCAAGUGCACAUGGGGACAAAGAUCUUAUUUUUUGGAGAAAUUUCCUCUGGUCUGAUGAAAUAAAAAUGGAAAGUUUUGGCCAUAAUGACCAUCGUUAUUUUUGGAGGAAAAAGGGUGAUGCUUGCAAGCCGAAGAACACCAUCCCAACCGUGAAGCAUGGGGGUGGCAGUAUCAUGUUGUGGGAGUGCUUUGCUGCAGGAGGGACUGGUGCACUUCACAAAAUAGAUGGCAUCAUAAGGAAGAAAUGUUAUGUGGAUAUUGAAGCAACAUCUCAAGACAUCAGCCAGGAAGUUAAAGCUCAGUCGCAAAUGGGUCUUUCAAAUGGACAAUGACCCCAAGCAUACCUCCAAAGUUGUAGCAAAAUGGCUUAAGGACAACAAAGUCAAGGUAUUAGAGUGGCCAUCACAAAGCCCUGACCUCAAUCCGAUAGAAAAUUUGUGGGCAGAACUGAAAAAGCAUGUGCGAGCAAGGAGGCCUACAAACCUGACUCGGUUACACCAGUUCUGUCUGGAGGAAUGGGCCAAAAUUCCAGCAACUUUUAGUGAGAAGCUUGUGGAAGGCUACCCAAAACGUUUGACCCAAGUUAUUAUUUUAAGGCAAUGCUAACAAAUACUAACAAAGUGUAUGUAAACUUCUGACCCACUGGGAAUGUCAUGAAAUAAAUAAAUCACAAAUGAGCUGAAAUAAAUAAUUCACAUUCUUUAAAUAAAGUAGUGAUACUAACUGACCUAAGACAGGGAAUGUUUUGUAUGAUUAAAUGUCAGGAAUUGUGAAAAACUGAGUUUAAAUGUAUUUGGCUAUGGUGUAUGUAAGUUUUG
Long non-coding RNA from Myxocyprinus asiaticus (Chinese sucker), 4605 nucleotides. RefSeq lists it as uncharacterized. Lineage: Eukaryota; Metazoa; Chordata; Actinopteri; Cypriniformes; Catostomidae. The transcript has 3 exons. The record is from RefSeq and is a predicted model, not a curated record.